Molecule: non-coding RNA, 29 nt
Filed under: Drosophila virilis
Lineage: Eukaryota; Metazoa; Arthropoda; Insecta; Diptera; Drosophilidae
Also listed under: 2 other names
Source: RNAcentral
UGGGAACUUGAAACCUGAGACUUCCAGAA